UUCCGGUUGAUUCCUGCCGGACCUGACUGCUAUCGGAUUGAUACUAAGCCAUGCGAGUCAUUGUAGCAAUACAAGGCAUACGGCUCAGUAACGCGUAGUCAACCUAACCUAUGGACGGAAAUAACCUCGGGAAACUGAGAAUAAUGUCCGAUAGAACACUAUACCUGGAAUGGUUUGUGUUCCAAAUGAUUUAUCGCCGUAGGAUGGGACUGCGGCCUAUCAGUUUGUUGGUGAGGUAAUGGCCCACCAAGACUAUUACAGGUACGGGCUCUGAGAGGAGUAGCCCGGAGAUGGGUACUGAGACACGGACCCAGGCCCUAUGGGGCGCAGCAGGCGAGAAAACUUUGCAAUGUGCGAAAGCACGACAAGGUUAAUCCGAGUGAUUUGUGCUAAACGAAUCUUUUGUUAGUCUUAGAACCACUAACGAAUAAGGGGUGGGCAAGUUCUGGUGUCAGCCGCCGCGGUAAAACCAGCACCUCAAGUGGUCAGGAUGAUUAUUGGGCCUAAAGCAUCCGUAGCCGGCUCUGUAAGUUUUCGGUUAAAUCUGUACGCUCAACGUACAGGCUGCCGGGAAUACUGCAGAGCUAGGGAGUGGGAGAGGUAGACGGUACUCGGAAGGAAGGGGUAAAAUCCUUUGAUCUUUUGAUGACCACCUGUGGCGAAGGCGGUCUACCAGAACACGUCCGACGGUGAGGGAUGAAAGCUGGGGGAGCAAACCGGAUUAGAUACCCGGGUAGUCCCAGCUGUAAACUAUGCAAACUCAGUGAUGCAUUGACUUGUGGUCAAUGCAGUGCUGCAGGGAAGCCGUUAAGUUUGCCGCCUGGGAAGUACGUACGCAAGUAUGAAACUUAAAGGAAUUGGCGGGGGAGCACCACAAGGGGUGAAGCCUGCGGUUCAAUUGGAUUCAACGCCGGA
This 915-nucleotide ribosomal RNA is filed under the name uncultured crenarchaeote. Its description in RNAcentral is "bacterial SSU rRNA". It matches the Rfam family "Archaeal small subunit ribosomal RNA", at positions 1 to 922 of the family's 1478-position model. The record is from RNAcentral. Lineage: Archaea; Thermoproteati; Thermoproteota.